CAGUAGCCACGGUAAUACAGAUGGUGCAAGCGUUAAUCGGAAUUACUGGGCGUAAAGCGCGCGUAGGUGGUUUGUUAAGUUGGAUGUGAAAUCCCCGGGCUCAACCUGGGAACUGCAUCCAAAACUGGCAAGCUAGAGUAUGGUAGAGGGUGGUGGAAUUUCCUGUGUAGCGGUGAAAUGCGUAGAUAUAGGAAGGAACACCAGUGGCGAAGGCGACCACCUGGACUGAUACUGACACUGAGGUGCGAAAGCGUGGGGAGCAAACAGGAUUAGAUACCCCAGUAUCCCUGUCUCUUAUACA
Molecule: ribosomal RNA, 301 nt
Filed under: uncultured bacterium
Lineage: Bacteria
Description: partial 16S ribosomal RNA
Rfam family: Bacterial small subunit ribosomal RNA
Source: RNAcentral